AUUGAACGCUGGCGGAAUGCUUUACACAUGCAAGUUGAGCGGCAGCACGGGGGCAACCCUGGUGGCGAGCGGCGAACGGGUGAGUAAUACAUCGGAACAUGCCCAGUCGUGGGGGAUAACACUUCGAAAGAAGUGCUAAUACCGCAUACGUCCUGAGGGAGAAAGCGGGGGAUCGCAAGACCUCGCGCGAUUGGAGUGGCCGAUGUCAGAUUAGCUAGUUGGUGGGGUAAAGGCCUACCAAGGCAACGAUCUGUAGCUGGUCUGAGAGGAUGAUCAGCCACACUGGGACUGAGACACGGCCCAGACUCCUACGGGAGGCAGCAGUGGGGAAUUUUGGACAAUGGGGGCAACCCUGAUCCAGCCAUUCCGCGUGAGUGAAGAAGGCCUUCGGGUUGUAAAGCUCUUUCGGCAGGAACGAAACGGCGAGCUCUAACAUAGCUUGCUAAUGACGGUACCUGAAGAAGAAGCACCGGCUAACUACGUG
Molecule: ribosomal RNA, 484 nt
Filed under: uncultured bacterium
Lineage: Bacteria
Description: partial 16S ribosomal RNA
Rfam family: Bacterial small subunit ribosomal RNA
Source: RNAcentral